UACGAAGGGGGCUAGCGUUGCUCGGAAUCACUGGGCGUAAAGCGCACGUAGGCGGCUUUCUAAGUCAGGGGUGAAAUCCUGGAGUUCAACUCCAGAACUGCCUUUGAUACUGGAGAGCUAGAGUCCGGAAGAGGUGAGUGGAACUGCGAGUGUAGAGGUGAAAUUCGUAGAUAUUCGGAAGAACACCAGUGGCGAAGGCGGCUCACUGGACCGGCAUUGACGCUGAGGUGCGAAAGCGUGGGGAGCAAACAGG
RNAcentral lists this ribosomal RNA (253 nucleotides) under uncultured bacterium. RNAcentral's name for it is "partial 16S ribosomal RNA". It matches the Rfam family "Bacterial small subunit ribosomal RNA", at positions 524 to 776 of the family's 1533-position model. The record is from RNAcentral.